This 412-nucleotide long non-coding RNA is filed under the name Brassica napus (rape). Its description in RNAcentral is "long non-coding RNA (BNAP_LNC007807)". The record is from RNAcentral. Lineage: Eukaryota; Viridiplantae; Streptophyta; Magnoliopsida; Brassicales; Brassicaceae.
AAUGGACCUAUGCUUGACCAUCAACUCUGACAUCGAUAAGUAGAUUAGGAGGCAUCUUCUCUUUCCUGAGCUCGCUUUGUCUGCUUCAGAGUGAAAAAAGAAGUGGACAUUUAUUAAUGAGGUCGAAAGGGUUUAAGAUUUAAGGUUUAAGGUAAUUAUUGUUCAUGAUUUGUUAUUUAUAUUUGUGGUGGGUUUAUAAGCUUUUAUAAAUGAUUGAUAAAAGUUAGUUUAAUUUUGAGAAUUCAGUCAAAAAAAACCUCAAUUUUGCACGAAUUGCCAAAAGAAACAUGAACUUUUGGGCUGACCAAAAAAAUACCGAACUUUCAUUGACUUUAGAAUUAAUUAACAAUGUUUUCGCUGACUUGCCAAUUUAACACGCCGUCAAUAAAUUUAACAGAAAUAUUUGAAGUCG